CCUACGGGAGGCAGCAGGGAUGAAUAUUGGACAAUGGGCGCAAGCCUGAUCCAGCCAUGCCGCGUGCAGGAUGACGGUCCUAUGGAUUGUAAACUGCUUUUAUACGAGAAGAAACACCCCUACGUGUAGGGACUUGACGGUAUCGUAAGAAUAAGGAUCGGCUAACUCCGUGCCAGCAGCCGCGGUAAUACGGAGGAUCCAAGCGUUAUCCGGAAUCAUUGGGUUUAAAGGGUCCGUAGGCGGUUUAGUAAGUCAGUGGUGAAAUCUCCCCGCUCAACGGGGAAACGGCCAUUGAUACUGCUAGACUUGAAUUAUUAGGAAGUAACUAGAAUAUGUAGUGUAGCGGUGAAAUGCUUAGAGAUUACAUGGAAUACCAAUUGCGAAGGCAGGUUACUACUAAUGGAUUGACGCUGAUGGACGAAAGCGUGGGUAGCGAACAGGAUUAGAUACCCUGGUAGUCCACGCCGUAAACGAUGGAUACUAGCUGUUGGGUGCAAAACUCAGUGGNGUAGACGAAGUAGAGUAAGUAUACCACCGUACGGGUAGGUACGUUACGCGAAGAAGUAGUAAACGUUAAAGGUUAAAGUUAGUUACGGCGUGAGAGUUGCGACGGACGACGACGAGGGAGGAGG
RNAcentral lists this ribosomal RNA (632 nucleotides) under uncultured bacterium. Its description in RNAcentral is "bacterial SSU rRNA". The stretch from base 1 to 536 matches the Rfam family "Bacterial small subunit ribosomal RNA", at positions 338 to 873 of the family's 1533-position model. The record is from RNAcentral.